GGGCGGUUACCCAAGUGGCCAACGGGGACUGACUGUAAAUCAGUUGGAGACACUCCUUCGGAGGUUCGAAUCCUUCACCGCCCACCU
This 87-nucleotide transfer RNA is filed under the name Longilinea arvoryzae. RNAcentral's name for it is "tRNA-Tyr". It matches the Rfam family "tRNA". From Rfam's summary of the family: Transfer RNA (tRNA) molecules are approximately 80 nucleotides in length. Lineage: Bacteria; Bacillati; Chloroflexota; Anaerolineae; Anaerolineales; Anaerolineaceae. The record is from RNAcentral.